AGUCUAUCAGGCUGUUAAUUAUAUUAUCAUCUCACUCUCACUCUCUCUCUCUCUCUCUCUCUCUCUCUCACGUGCGCGCACACACACACGAUGCGCAAAACUCCGCAUUUGCACAGUCAAUAGCAAAUACUUAAACUAAUAACAAAACAUACUUACAGUAGCUGAUUCAGAAGCACCAGAUUCACACACACACACACACACACACACACACACAGACAGACAGAGCCCUACCCCUCGCUCAUUCCGCUCUCCCACUUGCUGGAAGGUGGUAGUAUGAAAAGCGCAUACUAAACUCACACAUGUGCAUCUCUGGCCAUUGACGAGAAUCAUGUGUUGUAGAUGUCGAGGUCACGUGACUGAAAUGAGGCAACUCUGAGGACACCUUGAGCUCACCUGCCACAUUUCUUUCCUUUUCUCUCUCUCUCUCUCCAGGACCAUCUGUGUUUCUCUCUCUUCCUCUGUGCUACACGCCGAAGAACAGGAUCCUACACGGAGAUCUCAUCAGGUGUUUGUCCCACUGAGAGACUCUUCAGGGUCCUGAAACCUCCUCCUAGAUACGCCACCAAUCAUCGCUGGAGUACCACCAACUAGACAGGUACCAGCCAAUCCUUGCAGCACAUCUCUAGCAUGGAUGCACACAAAUAGAAUAU
RNAcentral lists this long non-coding RNA (650 nucleotides) under Sinocyclocheilus grahami. Its description in RNAcentral is "lncRNA (ENSSGRG00000023363.1)". Lineage: Eukaryota; Metazoa; Chordata; Actinopteri; Cypriniformes; Cyprinidae. The record is from RNAcentral.